GGAGAGGAAGGUAGGGAACAAGUUAAGGCUGUGAUCACGGGUCUUGGGUUUUAUGGCCACUGGCCACAGAGUAGCUGGUCCUUCCUCCCACACCUGGCCAGGACAUAUCUCUGAACACAGACCUUAUUCUCAAGCUUCCUGGCAACUCUCCCUUGUGGCCAUAGACUGAGAUUCAGACAUUGUGAUCAGCGAAACAGCCUGUAGGCCACGUCAUGGGACCUUCAUGAGUGCAUUCACCUGGGUGCUGGGCACAGGACAUACACAGAGCUUGUACAUCUCUAUACAGCCUAGGACACAUGUGGCCACCCAGGCCUGUGGGAGAGUGGAGCCUGGCGGCAGGGGCCAGGCACAGCAGGGGAUCCUUGCCAUCCUUACUCCUUUCUUUCUCCUUUCUGGCAGGUCUGGCCUCUUUGGGCUGCCACUGGCUGAUGACCCCCCUGCCGUCAAUUCCCAUGGCCCAGCCCCCGAGGAGAGUGAUGGAGAAGUGAUGCAGCAGGGGAUGGGCUUCCUGCCUCCUCCCCACAGUGACCAGUCCCCGGAGGACCAGCCUCCCAAGAUAGCUGGCCCUGAGCCACCUCCGCCACUUGUGCCACCACUGCCUGCCCGGAGCCUGCCCCCCUACCCACCAUAUUUUGAAGGUGCCCCCUUCCCUCACCCACUCUGGCUGAGAAACACCUAUCAGCAGUGGGUGCCACAGCCACCACCAAGGACCAUCAAGCGAACUCGACGGCGUUUGUCCCGCAACCGAGACCCAGGCCGCCUCAUCCUGAGCACCAUCCGCCUACGUCCCCGCCAGGUGCUCUGUGAGAAGUGCAAGAGCACCGUGAGUCCCCAGGAGGCCAGCCCUGGUCCCCCAGCUGCUUCCAGGCCCCGCCGGAGGCUGGGCAGUGGCUCAGACAGGGAGCAUCGCAAGCCAGAGGAGCCAGAGGACAGUGACCCCGCAGGUACAGCCACUGUGAGGAAGAGCAAGAAGGAGAGGCGGGAGGAAGACAGGGCCUCAACUGAACAGGUUCCACGGAGUCCUGUCAUCAAGAUCUCCUAUAGUACGCCCCAGGGCAAGGGUGAAGUGGUCAAGAUCCCAUCCCGGGUGCAUGGCUCUCUGGAGCCAUUCUGCCCCCAGCAAGCUCUCCACAAUGGCAGCCAGGACCCUGAGGUGCUGAGAGAUGCAGAGUCCAGGGGUAGUGGGGACCGACCACCCAGUGGACCUUCCGCUUCCAUCCCCAAGCUGAAGCUGACGCGUCCUCUGCCUCCUGGCUCAGACUUGCCACCACCUAAGAUCCGCCUGAAGCCCCACCGCCUGGGGGACGGUGAGUGUGAGCCCCUGUACAGGGCUGAGCUGGUGGAGGAGCUGAACGGCAGUCGACAAGGCUCCCAGGCCAGCUCACCUGCCCUCUUUGCAGAUAGCUCUGCCCAUGGACUGCAGGAUUUGUCUUCUGGAAGUUCUGGCGAGGAUGAUGAUUUCAAGAGGUGUCCCCAAAAUAAACAGGGACGUGAUGGCUUAGCCUUUCUUGUAAAUUGCCCUGGUAGAAGAGCAGAUUGUGCCAGUGAGUCUGUGUGCAGCAGUGACAGCCUGGAUGAAUCCAAAUCCUCCAGCUCAGAAGUGACAUCUCCAGACACAGGGGACCUUUCGUCCGGUGAUGGUGCAACUGUGCCUUCCUCAUCCAGGGAUGUUCGCCAGACAGUCCCACCCCUAACAGUCAGAUUGCAUACACAGAGCGUCUCUAAGUGUGUUACUGAAGAUGGAAGGACCGUGGCUGUAGGGGACGUCGUGUGGGGUCACCAACGGUGAGAAUGCAGCUGUUGUCCUGGAGCUUCUGAUUUCCAUCCAAAGGACCCCACGUGCCUUCUGGCCAGCUUUGUGCAGACCCAUGCUGGGCACAGUGGUCAGCCUGGUGCAAGGCCCCAGAGGAGCAGGUGUGUCCAGGAGGAGAUAAGACCAGUGCACAGUGGCCGCCUCUUGGCUGAAUGUAUUUAUUCCUGUGACUCAGGCUGCAGUGUUCCUGGCUUGGAAGGAGCCGGGAACUCAGUGAUGAGCUUGCUGUUUCACAUGCCGGGUGUGGGCGGCCUCCAGGCCUGGACUUCCCUCGCAAGAGCAGGGCCUUCUGCCCAGCCCACCUGGUGACCAGUGUGGGUGGCUGUGCCCAGCCGUGGAUCUUCCCUGGGGAUGACCGUCUCAGCUGCUCGGCUCCAGCUGUCUGCAGACUUGAUAUAAACCAAAUUGCACGUGUGGGGUUCUUCUUCCCAAGCCCUUGGGCACGGGGUCUCUGUGCACUUGAGAGCUGGGGACCCACCUGCAUCUCACCCCAUUCCUCCCAGAGCAUGGGUCCCCCUGGGUGGCUGGCCCCUGCUUGCAAGGCCACCUUGUCUAGGAGAUGCUGCUAUGAAUUGCCAGUACUGUGAGGAGGAGGUGAAGGGUAGACCUUGAAAACAGCGCAACAUCAAGAGGAGAAACUGGCUCUGCUGUUUAUGAGUGCAUUCCUUCCCCUUUCUGUCACUUUAUAGACCAAAAAGAAAAACGAAAGAAAAAAACAAAGUCUUCUGCUCUUUCUUUGAUUAAAUGUAAGAAAGAAAAAUCUAGGUUGAUGUUACCUGAGCAGUCCUGAGGUUGCACCUAUGUCGGGGCUGUUGUGUGGAGGGUCCCUGGAGACCCUUGACAGUGAAAGGAAUGGGCCCAUGGCCACAUGUAUCAAGGUAGCACCAUGCCAGACAGACAGGAAGUCCCAUUCUCUCCCUGCCUGGGCCUCCCUCCUAUUUCCUGGUUGACAUUUGAAUUUCCUGGACAGAGGCAGCCCCCUGCAAGUGGGGGUAGUUUUGCUCUGUGUUCCUACCGGUACAACUUUUUUUUUCAGUGCUGGGGAUGGAACUCAGGACUUUGUACUUGCAAGGCAGGCGUGGUGCCCCUGAGCUAAAUCCCUAGCCCUGGUGCAACUUCUUUAAUCCCCUGGUUUCUUAGUUUGCUCAUUUAAAGCCAAUGGACAUCCCAGGGAUGGAGAUGGCGACUUCGCUUGUUCCCGGUUUUACUGGAAUGUUCUGCAUUCUAAGGGUUCCACUCCACCUACAAAGGACUCUGGGAAUGUUGGGGGGGCAGCAGUGGACACCACCAGGGUCUUCUCCAGAGGUUCUCAAGGGGACAACUCAGCAGAUGACUGUCCUUAUGGUUCCCUGAGGACAUGGUUCUGGGCCUGCUCUUGGAAUUGGGGGAGGGUGUGGCUUUCAAAUUUGUUUGUAGCAGCAGAGCCCUUUGCUCCAUCAGAAUUUCACUGGAACAAAGGCUACUCAGGAGGUGCUGUUCCUGACCACUCAACACUAAGAAGCCCCCAAGGCCCAGGUGUCUUUGGAGGCUUUGAAAAUCCACAAGUGGGACAAGGGGCCUUGUAUGAGAGACAGGACUUUGAAAGAAUGAGAGCUGCCAGCAUCUAUGGGUCUGUCCCAGGCCCAUCUCAGGAGACCCAGGGUCCAGGGAUGCCAGGCCCCAUCACUGCCACACUGUGGUCCAGGUUUUGAGUCACUUCGAACGAGGGUGUCCCUAGGAAGGAUCAGAGCUGGGGAAGAAUUGCUAUCUCCAUUCGCUUGGGCCAAGGGAGCUUGGUCUUCCUUCGAGGCAGACACAACCCAGCAGCCUGCGCAUUUACAUACGCUCCUUUGUGGGAUGAGUUAUGCAUUCUCCAGAAUGUCAGGCUAGAGCAGGCCUUUGGCAACUGUCCCAGGCUCUAGGGUGGGGGUGAGGGACGUCUUCCUUCUGCUGAGGAUGAAAGAACUGGGUGUGGCUAUGUGCGCACCCCACCCUGGGGUCCCCAGCAACAACAAAUAAAGGCCUGGUGCUGCCCUCUGCCAGUGUUUGUCAGCAGCACCUGUGUUCCUUAAUCACAGGUCCUGGCUGUGACGAGUAGGGACUGAGCAGGAAAGGGCCAGCUCCCUCAACAGAAGACAAAGAGUUCCUUAUGAGUCCCUGGCUCCAGGUGUCCACCUUUAAACCAAUCUGCCAGAAACGCACUGGUCUGGGGGCCCUGAGUCUGGCCCUUCUGCUGGGUGGCUUCUGGCCACACUUGACCUUCACCAGACCAGAAGUCCUAGGGUUCCUAGACCAGUGGCAGUGGUGCUGCCUGCUCUCUGUGGAAACGUUGAGUCCCCACAUCAAAUCAGUCUGCUCACUAGUCCAAAACCUCGGCUGCAUCUGGGCCUCAGAAGAUUAGAGGACUUGGCGCCUCCAAACUCCCGGCAGUGUCUGCAAGCCAGCAGUACCUGAGAGCAGGUCAGCCCUGUGUGCCUCACCCAUAUUAGCUCAGAGGCUGCCACAAAAAGUUGUCCUGCGAGCCCAAGAACUGUGAGACGGUUCCUAUUUGAAAGCAUUAUUACUUUUGGAGAUUCAUACAUGCCUGAGCUCAUCAAAGUUCAGACGAAUCCUGUCUUUAGAACAGCAAACUCCUGCUUGCCUGGUGUUUCCCAGCCUGUGAGUCUAUGAGGGCCCCUCACAUAGAUCACAUAGACAUGCAACUGUCUGCUCCCUCAUGGCCCUGAUACCAGCAGUCCCUGCUGGAGGAUAUUCUUCCACCAAGGCUUGCGGCCUCUUAGUGCCCACACCGGAUGAGUGGGGUGUCUCAGGGCUGUUGUCUGCUGAAGCCCACCGGAAGGGCAGGAGCUUGCAGUCCUGGGCUGGCCUGAGCUCUACCCACCCUGGGAGGGCAUUGUCCCUCAGCCUAGAAGGGUGAAUGACAUUUCAGCAGAUCUAAUUUAAAGUGAAGGCAGUUUUUUUGUUUUGCUUUGUGUUUAGUCUUUAUUUUUUAAGCAGAGGAUUAACCGUGCUUACUUGUCAGUUUGAUUACAUGGUUGCUCAGACCAUGUGCAGGAAUGGCGGGGAGGGGGGUACUCUAUCCCUCAGUGACACCCAGACUUGGACUAAAGCCAGCCCCCAGCAACAUUGCAGCGCCUGGUGAUGCCUGGCUCUGCGCUCAGCUCCUUUUUCAGGGACAUCCCUCCUUGCCUUGGUGAUGUCCAGCACACUGCUCAGCCUUUCUGGGUGGGGCUCAGCCUUGUCCCACCUCUAAAGGCCCUGACACAAUGGCUACACAAAGUGGGUGCACUCAGGCUUAGAAUGCAGGC
This 5100-nucleotide long non-coding RNA is filed under the name Fukomys damarensis (Damara mole-rat). RNAcentral describes it as "lncRNA (ENSFDAG00000029201.1)". Lineage: Eukaryota; Metazoa; Chordata; Mammalia; Rodentia; Bathyergidae. The record is from RNAcentral.